Molecule: ribosomal RNA, 253 nt
Filed under: uncultured bacterium
Lineage: Bacteria
Description: partial 16S ribosomal RNA
Rfam family: Bacterial small subunit ribosomal RNA
Source: RNAcentral
UACGGGGGGGGCAAGCGUUGUUCGGAAUUACUGGGCGUAAAGGGCUCGUAGGUGGCCAACUAAGUCAUACGUGAAAUCCCUCGGCUUAACCGGGGAACUGCGUCUGAUACUGGAUGGCUUGAGGUUGGGAGAGGGAUGCGGAAUUCCAGGUGUAGCGGUGAAAUGCGUAGAUAUCUGGAGGAACACCGGCGGCGAAGGCGGCAUCCUGGACCAAUUCUGACACUGAGGAGCGAAAGCCAGGGGAGCAAACGGG